Long non-coding RNA from Ictalurus furcatus (blue catfish), 884 nucleotides. RefSeq lists it as uncharacterized. The record is from RefSeq and is a predicted model, not a curated record. The transcript is spliced from 3 exons. Lineage: Eukaryota; Metazoa; Chordata; Actinopteri; Siluriformes; Ictaluridae.
UUGAACACAAUCUAAUCUGAAUGGGAUUUUAUAGCAUAAUUCACUGGGUGACCUCAAUCCUCUGUACUGAUCCAAGUUCAGUUCAGUACUAUUAAACUCUGGAAGACCUACAGACUACUAAGCACAUCCACUGCUAAGCUAAAUCAUGCAAAUUCCAUCUGAUGGGCCUCUGUUUGCCAGAACUGAGUCGUUCUGCAACCAUGGCAACCUCAUGUUGCUUGGGCAGAGCCAAGACCAUAGCCAUGGCAACGUCUGAGAAGACCGACAGCUUGUCUCUGAAGCGCAAGCCUCAUCGGCCCGAUGAUGCCAACACAAAGUGGCUGUCGGAAUUUAAACCCGAAUUCGAUGCCAGCGCUGGACUGAACGCAUGGUCAGAGGGGAAAGAGGAGCUAACGCAUGCUAAUAACAUCAACUGACCUAACUGGGGAGAGAGAGAGAGAGCGCGAGAGAGAGGGCUGAUGUUGGAGCAAAGAGUAAAUUUGAAGUCCUCGUCUCCUACCUGUGGUCAAUUUGAGCUGGAGCCACAGGCGUGUGAUGUCCUGGCAGAGCAGGGACACUCGGUUAAGCGCCAUCCUGCCUGCACUGCACACUCCGUGGCUCACUCCUUACUCAGGUGGCCCUCUGUGUGGAACUCUGGUCGGCCGGCAUACACAACACCAUACCAGUGACGACAGACGAUCCGUCUGUGCACUUCACCAAACCCCAUGUCUCAGUCACACGUGCCUGGACCGACUACCAUGCCGGCUUCAGUAAUUGUCACAUGGAAAGAAUUCAAAAAGGGAAGGAGGGACCAAGAGAGCAAGAGAGAAGAGGCGGGGCAAGAGGGCAAAUCCUGCUGCAUGUCACUUCCCUCCUUCCAGCUGGGUUAAUAAUAAUAAUAAUAA